Molecule: transfer RNA, 76 nt
Filed under: Podarcis lilfordi (Lilford's wall lizard)
Lineage: Eukaryota; Metazoa; Chordata; Lepidosauria; Squamata; Lacertidae
Description: tRNA.Ile
Source: RNAcentral
CAGCCUGGAUAGCUCAGUUGGUUAGAGCAUAGUGCUGAUAAUGACAAGGUUGCAGGUUCAAUCCCCGUUUGGCUGA